UUGCUUGUUAGUGUUUAUUUUAACAUUAAUUUAUAUGUAAAAUUUUUUUAGUUAAAUUUUCUUAAAGAAUUUUAAUUUAUUGGCAGUAGAUAGUAUUAUUGAUAUUAAGGUAAUUUAGAUUUGGUAAAUGUUAAUAGAUUUGGUGAAUGUUGUGCCAGCAGCCGCGGUUAUACAGCAAAAUCAAAUGAACAUUAUUGGCUUUAAAAUAAUUAGUAUAUAUAUAUAAUAUGAAUUGAGAUAUUAUAAAGUGAAAUUUUAAUAUUUUUAGGAUUAUUUAUGUAGUAUGAUUAUUAUGAAAUUAAAAACAUAAACUAGGAUUAGAUACCCUAUUAUUUUUAUUGUAAAAAAUUAAGUCAGAGUAUUAAUAGAUAUAAUCUUUAAACUUAAAGAAUUUGGCGGUAUUAUAGUCUAUUUAGAGGAAUCUGUUAUGUAAUCGAUAGUCCACGAAGAACCUUACUUAUAUUAAUUCUUGUAUACCGCUGUCUAAGAAUAUACUUUUAGGUAAAAUUUUCGAGAUUUAAUAAUAAUUAAGAUUUCAAGUCAAGGUGCAGUUAAUAUAUAAGUUGAAUAAUGGAUUACAAUAAAAUGUAUUUAUUAUGGAUAAUUAUGUUAAACAAGUAAUUUGAAGGUGGAUUUAAUUGUAAUUUUAUAAAGAUUAUUAAAAUGAUUUUAGCUCUAUAAUAUGUACACAUCGCCCGUCACUCUCGUUAGUUAAGAUGAGAUAAGUCGUAACAAAGUAGGUGUAUCGGAAGGUGUACCUAGAAAGGAA
RNAcentral lists this non-coding RNA (769 nucleotides) under Stagmatoptera biocellata. The record is from RNAcentral. Lineage: Eukaryota; Metazoa; Arthropoda; Insecta; Mantodea; Mantidae.